RNAcentral lists this ribosomal RNA (480 nucleotides) under uncultured bacterium. RNAcentral's name for it is "partial 16S ribosomal RNA". It matches the Rfam family "Bacterial small subunit ribosomal RNA", at positions 30 to 507 of the family's 1533-position model. The record is from RNAcentral.
UGACCGCUGGCGGCAUGCCUUACACAUGCAAGUCGAACGGUAACAGGUCUUCGGAUGCUGACGAGUGGCGAACGGGUGAGUAAUACAUCGGAACGUGCCCGAUCGUGGGGGAUAACGAGGCGAAAGCUUUGCUAAUACCGCAUACGAUCUACGGAUGAAAGCGGGGGAUCUUCGGACCUCGCGCGGACGGAGCGGCCGAUGGCAGAUUAGGUAGUUGGUGGGAUAAAAGCUUACCAAGCCGACGAUCUGUAGCUGGUCUGAGAGGAUGAUCAGCCACACUGGGACUGAGACACGGCCCAGACUCCUACGGGAGGCAGCAGUGGGGAAUUUUGGACAAUGGGCGAAAGCCUGAUCCAGCCAUGCCGCGUGCAGGAUGAAGGCCUUCGGGUUGUAAACUGCUUUUGUACGGAACGAAAAGCCUCUUUCUAAUAAAGAGGGGUCAUGACGGUACCGUAAGAAUAAGCACCGGCUAACUACGUG